Callithrix jacchus (white-tufted-ear marmoset) is the source of this 2433-nucleotide non-coding RNA. The record is from RefSeq and is a predicted model, not a curated record. Lineage: Eukaryota; Metazoa; Chordata; Mammalia; Primates; Cebidae.
GAAGAGGUGGUAGAGGAGGGAAGGGAGGGAGAGAAGGCAAGGAGAAAGGAGGGGAAGAGGGACGUGCUUCCCCUCUCACUGGUGUCAGGUUCUGAUUGUGUCUGGGCUUUGCAUAGAGCAGGUGGGCAGCUGUGACCCACACAUGAUAUUCCACAUGAAGUUGUGUUUUUCUGAUGUACACAGUAAUUUUCAAAACCAGGAAAACUUUACAUAGCUCUCUAGAUUUCUGUAGAUAAGUGGAAAGGCCUGGCCUUCCUGGAUCUUCACCUGGCAGUGUGACCUGAAGCUGGUCACAGCUGCUCCUGCAACUCCUGGACUGGGCGUUUCAGAUUUCUGUGAUCCCCACUCUUCCUAUUGCCUCACACCCAGGAGGCUUCACUCACGUCCAUUGACAUCCUCUGCCUGGCCCCAGGAACACUGAAGUUUGUGACCUAGAUACAGAUUAUGUGCACACAGGGCUACCAUUCACAGGAGGCAGAUAGUCAGUGGGGGAGCAGGGUGCUGAAAGCCAGCUUCCGUGCAUGUCCAUGCUCUCUGUAUGUCCCUUCUGUGUUUGCACAAAGGCAUCCUACAGGCUGAAAAUGGUCCUGCCUGCAAAUUCUCCCAAAGAUGUAUAUUCUCCAUUGGCCAAAAUGUGCUAUAUAGCCCACAAGAAGGAGAGCAAUUCAGGGAGCUGAGAGUGAGAGGAGACUGCAUUCUCAGACACAAUUGUCCAGACACUUCCUUUAAAAACUUUGUGCCAUUGCCCAGGAAUGCUCAGUCUUGGAAAACAGUGAGUGUCUAAUCAAGCCAUUUAAAGCAGGGAGAAGAUUUUAAUUGGUUGCAAUUGUAGGUAUAAUUAUUUACAGCAUGCAGAGGUUUUCCUCAUAGUGAUCAUAUGCAGCAGCAAUUCUUAUUUCCCUAUUUUGCAGAUGAGGAAAUGGAAGCUUACAGAGGUUAAGUGAUUGGCCUCAGGCCACUGCAUUUAAUACUACUAAUAAUAUUAACACCCAUAGUCUGUCCUGGGCAGGCCUGAGCAUCUCACACACUUUUGUUCAUUUACUCCUCACCCCACGGGAGCACUGAUGCUACUUUUUCUCCUCUCCAAGAAGAAGACAGAGGCCUAGAAGAGUCUGGGUGAACUCCAAAACCCACAUUCCUAGUCGCAACAUGAGACACCUCAUUAAUAAGACCAAAGGGCCCACACCUAAAGGCAAAUCAGUCAACACAAAUAUAGGAUUAAAAUCCAGGUCUUCAGUCUAGAAUCUGUCACUCUUAUUCCUGCGCAUUUUUUAACACUUGAGCUCAACUUGUUCACGCAGGAUAUAUCAUUAGGAAACUCCAAAACUUGACCAUUAAUCAGAGUGUUUGUGAUGAAAAAAAAUCGGUGCCUUUUCUAUGAGACAAACCAGCUCUGUAUUUGACUCUGGUCAGUGUAGGCAUUAACUUCUAACCUGAAUCAGCAAGACCUGGGUUCCAGCCUGGCCCCACAACCCAACUGUGGUAUGGCCUUGGACCCAUCACCUGCCUCUCAAGCCCUCCUCUUCCUGCUCUGGGACAAGGGCACAGCCACAGCCCCAGUGUCAUGGCAACAUAUGGGCCAGGCUCAGGUCUAGCACUUGGCAAUCAGCCCAUGAUGGCAGGGAGGCUUCACUUCCUGUCCCAGGCAGAGGGGAAGACAUGGCCUAUGAGUAAUGCAAGUUUGAGUGUUGAGCCAGUUCAGAGCAAGCCUGAGAGGACCCGUGGGCACAGUCAGGCUCCAGAGACAAGAAGGGGCUGGCUCCUUUAACUUGUCUCCAGCUCAGCCACACAUGCCACCGGUGUGGGAGGGAGCCCCUGGUCACUUUCUGCUGGGGAGCAGAAUUGCUGAUGAAGGGCCCAGAGCCAAUGGGGAAGAGGCCUCCCCCACAACCCUGGGCCUCCUGCCCACUGAAGCCACUUAAAACUCCAGACCGUGCCCUCAAGCUUUCCAGUCUUCAUGUCUCAGGAAGGUCCAAGACAGCAGUGGGGAGGUGGGCACAUGACCGGGCUUUCUCAUUGCCUCCAAACAAUCCCAUGUGCUGGACCAUAUUUUCUGCUCUUCUAGAAGUUUCUGUGUCCCAGGUCAGGUGCAAAUGACCUCCCGACAAAAUAGCCCGUCUGAGUUCUGCAGAGGCUGAGAGCCUACUCAAGAGCAUGGAGUUUCCGAAGCCAGAAGGGACCUUGGAUAAACAAGAAAGCUCCAGGCCUGAGGAAGUUAAAGGAAUUUGCUUCAAAUAACCCAGUCGAAAGGGGUCAGCAGAUUGGCAGCCAGUGCUCCCUCCAUGACAGCACUGUCCCCGCCCUCUUCCUAUAUUAACUAAAUCCCACACAUGAUGCUGGCAUUUGAUAAUCUCUUAUCUCCAACCAAUGUUAAUUUUACAACCUGGCAUGCUUUAGGUGGUAGAGUAAUAAAGCAGAAUUUAUGCAUCCAAA